UCAGAGUUGCUGCCGAGUAGCUCUGUUAUAGGAUAAGAAAUAUUAUAUCGUUAGGCCAUAGCAGAUAUAAUAAAUCUUAUCCUUUUUAU
RNAcentral lists this non-coding RNA (89 nucleotides) under unclassified sequences. The record is from RNAcentral.